RNAcentral lists this long non-coding RNA (214 nucleotides) under Mytilus galloprovincialis (Mediterranean mussel). The record is from RNAcentral. Lineage: Eukaryota; Metazoa; Mollusca; Bivalvia; Mytilida; Mytilidae.
GUCAAUUGUUUGCUGAUCAGUGCUCUUAUAAUGGUAGAAUUAUAUGAUUUUUUAAAAUGUUAUUUUUCUUAAUUUUUCAAAAAACUAAAAUACAUCAAUUUUCAAUAAGUAGUUAAAAAGCAACGUCAAUUUUGCGGAGUCUUACAAGAAUGUCGUACUUGCUUAAAAACAACGUUUCAGUCGAAUUUUUGGUUUGAACGUUACGAAAUAUUCG